This 429-nucleotide ribosomal RNA is filed under the name bacterium. RNAcentral's name for it is "partial 16S ribosomal RNA". It matches the Rfam family "Bacterial small subunit ribosomal RNA", at positions 355 to 776 of the family's 1533-position model. The record is from RNAcentral.
UAGGGAAUCUUCCACAAUGGACGCAAGUCUGAUGGAGCCACGCCGCGUGAGUGAAGAAGGUUUUCGGAUCGUAAAGCUCUGUUGUUGGUGAAGAAGGAUAGAGGCAGUAACUGGUCUUUAUUUGACGGUAAUCAACCAGAAAGUCACGGCUAACUACGUGCCAGCAGCCGCGGUAAUACGUAGGUGGCAAGCGUUGUCCGGAUUUAUUGGGCGUAAAGCGAGCGCAGGCGGAAUGAUAAGUCUGAUGUGAAAGCCCACGGCUCAACCGUGGAACUGCAUCGGAAACAGUCAUUCUUGAGUGCAGAAGAGGAGAGUAGAAUUCCAUGUGUAGCGGUGGAAUACGUAGAUAUAUGGAAGAAAACCAGUGGAGAGGGCGGCUCUCUGGUCUAAAAAUGACGCUGAGGCUCGAAAGCAUGGGUAGCGAGCAGG